RNAcentral lists this ribosomal RNA (255 nucleotides) under uncultured Glomus. RNAcentral's name for it is "partial 18S ribosomal RNA". It matches the Rfam family "Eukaryotic small subunit ribosomal RNA", at positions 624 to 885 of the family's 1831-position model. Lineage: Eukaryota; Fungi; Glomeromycota; Glomeromycetes; Glomerales; Glomeraceae. The record is from RNAcentral.
AAGCUCGUAGUUGAAUUUCGGGAUCAGACUGUCGGUCGUGCCUCGGUACGCACUGGCAUUAUUGGUUCCUACCUUCUGAAGAACCGCGAUGUCAUUAAUUUGGUGUCGCGGGGAAUCAGGACUGUUACUUUGAAAAAAUUGAGUGUUUAAAGCAGGCUUACGCUUGAAUACAUUAGCAUGGAAUAAUGAAAUAGGACGUUUGAUUCUAUUUUGUUGGUUUCUAGGAUCGACGUAAUGAUUAAUGGGAUAGUUGGG